RNAcentral lists this ribosomal RNA (17 nucleotides) under Scenedesmus aldavei. RNAcentral's name for it is "partial 5.8S ribosomal RNA". The record is from RNAcentral. Lineage: Eukaryota; Viridiplantae; Chlorophyta; Chlorophyceae; Sphaeropleales; Scenedesmaceae.
GCGUCGGUUUACACCCA